CCAUGGAUUUCAAGGUGGCCAACCCCCUCAAAAAAGAGUACAAGGUCGACGAGGAGGGAGAAAGGGACCGUGUGCGCUGCUGUGGAUAGGACGAUCACGAGCAGGGGGUAUGGCGACUAGAACGGAGUGAGGCUUCGCGGCCGGAUCCAUCUUGGCCCUCUCUCCCCUCCGGCGGUUCCCCCUUUGCUUGCUCGCGCGACUGGCGCGGUAGGCGGAGACUUGCCUCUUCUGCGGCGGCGACGGCAGAGGUAAUCCGAUGUUUAUUGCCAUGACUGCUUGCUUAUGAGUUUGACCUAGUACUUUACAGCUGUUACAUGCUUCAAUCGCUCUCUCCCUGAUUCCUAUAAUAGAUAUUCUGUUCAUCACCACAAAGCGACACAGAUGUAAUUCUUUAAUCUGAUAUUGUCCAAUUAUACUAGUAUAAAGUUUCGUGCAGACUGAUCAUGCAAUUCAUGAACUGGAAUGAACUACACACACUCCUUCCCUUCAAUUUUUUUUAAAUGAAUCCUAGGCUGCAGAUGUUGCCCAGAAAGUUUUCUUAAGAGAUGAUGGAAUUUGCUCCUCAUCCUUUUGAUUUGACCAAAAACUGGGGAAAAAACGUGCAGAUGGUGACUCAAAUACCAAAUCAACAAAUUUCAGUAGUCAAUUUCUCGAUAACUUGCAGAUCAGGUUACAGAUCGACCUUUUUCAGCAUCCACAUUGAUAACUGUAGAAUGAUUUACAACUCAGCAUAAUUUAUUUCAUAUGAAUUUGAACUUAACUGAACUUAACAUCAGGGAACCAUUGCCUUGCUUUGUGCUGCUCAUCUCCUAUGCACAUCUCAGAAGAUGAUCAUCACUGCCUUGAGGAGGCUUGAAGGUGUCUCCCCAUCUUAGCAGCAAGGGUAGACGGCGAUGCAGCGCCUGCGCCGGGGAGGUGUGCACAUCAUCAGCAGCAGCAAGGCAAGGACGAUGGUGACGAGCAGCCCCAGCAGGUUGAACGCUGGCUCAUCAUCUUCCUGGCUGCAACACAGCUUGCCCAUGUUAACUGUUAGAGGGGGAGGAGGAGAUGAGUUCUUGGUAGGAUGAUGAUGAAGGAGAGGAGGGACUUGGUUAAAGGCUUCUUUCUUGGCUUGUGGAAUUUCUUAUGGCAACGACUCUGGAUACAGGACACAGUCAGAUCUAUAUGUAGCAAUUAUAUGUGGACCGUCAACAUCAACUUGAAUUCUGGUAUGUACAUCAUUAGUACUUUAAUUAAGAGACACUUGUUCGGUUGUUCCCACCGUAUCAUAUCAUAUACAAUGCUAACUGCAAUUAAGUACCCUUCCUCAUGUGCAUAAUGACUUUUAAAAAUGGCUACCCAACUCUUUUUUUUAGGUAAAUACAGUAGGGGAGGCCCCUACUGUGUUAAAUAUAUUAAAAUAGUGUUAAAAAAAACUGUACAGAAAGAAAGAAAAGAGGUUAGAACAGAUCUACAAGAAGCAGGGAAAAAAUGACAUCUAAGGAAAAAAAAAAGAGCAAAUGAGUUAGUUAGCGUAAGGAGUCUAUCCAAGCUAGAAAAGGAGCUCUUUUAUCGCUCUUGAAUCUGUGAGCCUGCAGAGUAGCAUCUUCUACAAGUUGAUGCUUCCAAGAAGAGAGGCUUGGCUGCUUAUUUUCAAAGAUAAGGUUGUUUCUUUGUUUCCAAAUGUUCCAGGCAGCAAUGAUGAACACCUCCAUGAAAAGAAGCUGUUGAUUGUUUUGCUGGGUUUCUAUCAUCAUGCUAAAGAAGGGAAGAGAUGAUUUCCACUCAUCAUGCUAAAGAAGGGAAGAGAUGAUUUCCACUGUAAUCCAAUAGCUUGCCAGCAGGAGAUGCUAAACUCACAGCCAAAGAAUAGAUGAAACGCUGUUUCUUCAGUGUUAAGUCUACAGAGGAUGCAAUUGCAGUUGUUGUCAUUUAUCUUUAGGUUUUUCCUCCUGAGAAGAUUCCUUGUAUUCAACAUAUCCAUGAGAAGAAGCUAAGAGAAUACUUUAAGCUUGUUGCUGCACCGCGAUUUCCAUAUUCAUAAAAAAGGUUCUGGUGGCCUGACAUGUAUGUAUGAGAAGUUGUAGAACUUCUUUGAUGAAUAGUUGUUGGAACCCCAAAUGGACUGCCACGAAUCCUUGUUUCCUUCAUGCACUUGUAUCCCUUGUAUCAGUACUUGUAGACUUUGAAAUUCCUGAAAAGCUUGUUCUGAUAGAGGUAAAUAAAAUUGAUCCUCUAUGAUAUUGUUUGUCAAAAACUUUAGCACUGA
Long non-coding RNA from Setaria italica (foxtail millet), 2248 nucleotides. RefSeq lists it as uncharacterized. The record is from RefSeq and is a predicted model, not a curated record. Lineage: Eukaryota; Viridiplantae; Streptophyta; Magnoliopsida; Poales; Poaceae. The transcript has 2 exons.